GUCUCAGGCCGUAUCAGCCUGAAGGCGCCCGAUCUAGUCUGAUCUCGGAAGCUAAGCAGGGUCGGGCCUGGUUAGGAUCUUGGAUGGGAGACCACCUGGGAAUCCCGGGUGCUCGAGGCU
Molecule: ribosomal RNA, 120 nt
Filed under: Bison bison bison
Lineage: Eukaryota; Metazoa; Chordata; Mammalia; Artiodactyla; Bovidae
Source: RNAcentral